Molecule: ribosomal RNA, 230 nt
Filed under: uncultured bacterium
Lineage: Bacteria
Description: partial 16S ribosomal RNA
Rfam family: Bacterial small subunit ribosomal RNA
Source: RNAcentral
AAGCGUGCGCAGGCGGUUAUAUAAGACAGAUGUGAAAUCCCCGGGCUCAACCUGGGAACUGCAUUUGUGACUGUAUAGCUGGAGUGCGGCAGAGGGGGAUGGAAUUCCGCGUGUAGCAGUGAAAUGCGUAGAUAUGCGGAGGAACACCGAUGGCGAAGGCAAUCCCCCUGGGCCUGCACUGACGCUCAUGCACGAAAGCGUGGGGAGCAAACAGGAUUAGAUACCCUUGU